RNAcentral lists this ribosomal RNA (500 nucleotides) under uncultured bacterium. RNAcentral's name for it is "partial 16S ribosomal RNA". It matches the Rfam family "Bacterial small subunit ribosomal RNA", at positions 29 to 523 of the family's 1533-position model. The record is from RNAcentral.
AUUGAACGCUGGCGGCAUGCUUUGCACAUGCAAGUCGAACGGUAACGCGGGGGCAACCCUGGCGACGAGUGGCGAACGGGUGAGUAAUACAUCGGAACAUGUCCUGAAGUGGGGGAUAGCCCGGCGAAAGCCGGAUUAAUACCGCUUACGCCCUGAGGAGGAAAGCGGGGGACGGAAAGGCCUCGCGCUAUUGGAGUGGCCGAUGUCGGAUUGGCUAGUUGGCGGGGUAAGGGCCCACCAAGGCGACGAUCCGUAGCUGGUCUGAGAGGAUGAUCAGCCACACUGGGACUGAGACACGGCCCAGACUCCUACGGGAGGCAGCAGUGGGGAAUUUUGGACAAUGGGGGCAACCCUGAUCCAGCCAUGCCGCGUGAGUGAAGAAGGCCUUCGGGUUGUAAAGCUCUUUCGGACGGAACGAAAUGGUUACGGUGAACAUCCGUGACUGGUGACGGUACUGUAAGAAGAAGCACCGGCUAACUACGUGCCAGCAGCCGCGGUAA